Molecule: transfer RNA, 73 nt
Filed under: Chthoniobacter flavus
Lineage: Bacteria; Pseudomonadati; Verrucomicrobiota; Spartobacteria; Chthoniobacterales; Chthoniobacteraceae
Also listed under: 2 other names
Description: tRNA-Lys
Rfam family: tRNA
About the family: Transfer RNA (tRNA) molecules are approximately 80 nucleotides in length. Their secondary structure includes four short double-helical elements and three loops (D, anti-codon, and T loops).
Source: RNAcentral
GGACCGUUAGCUCAAUUGGCAGAGCAAGUGACUCUUAAUCACUAGGUUGAAGGUUCGAUUCCUUCACGGUCCA